CUGGUGAGGCCACACCUGGAGUAUUGCGUCCAGUUUUGGCCCCCCCACUACAGAAAGGAAGUGGACAAAUUGGAGAGAGUCCAGCAGAGAGCAACGAAAAUGAUUAGGGGGCUGGAGCACAUGACUUAUGAGGAGAGGCUGAGGGAACCGGGGUUAUUUAGUCUGCAGAAGAGAAGAGUGAGGGGUGAUUUGAUAGUAGCUUUCAACUACCUGAAUUCUAAGGUUCCAAAGAGGAUGGAGCUCGGCUGUUCUCAGUGGUGACAGAUGACAAAACAAGGAGUAAUGGUCUCAAGUUGCAGUUGGAGAGGUUUAGGUUGGAUAUUAGGAAAAACUAUUUCACUAGGAGGGUGGUAAAGCACUGGAAUGGGUUACCUAGGGAGGUGGUGGAAUCUCCAUCCUUAGAGGUUUUUAAGGCCCUACUUGACAAAGCCUUGGCUGGGAUGAUUUAGUUGGUGUUGGUCCUGCUUUGAGCAGGGGGUUGGACUAGAUGACCUCCUGAGGUCCCUUCCAACCAUGAUAUUCUAUGAUUCUUGUGCAUGAAACUGCCCUGUACUUUACAGUGCAUAUUACUUAGCUGCUGUAUAAUAGUGAAUCUUUGUAUAAUAGUGAUAGCUGCUGUAAUUUCCAAUAGUUUACAGCAAUAUGGUAAAGAAAGUGAGCAAAAUGUACUACAACUUUACAGCUUAGCAGCUGUCUACUGAUGUUUCAAUUUCAGAUAAGUAUCAAAGCAAUGAGAGGUGUUUCCUUUCAUUAUUGCUUUUGGCAAAAAAAAGGACUUCAAAAUUUCAAUUUUCAACCCUUUUGGACACAAAUAUCCUGGAUGUGAAUAUGUGUAUAUAUCAUUGUGAAGUGACAUUUUAUGAACUCUAUCUGUCCUUCAUCUCAUACAUGUCUACUUCAUAACUAUGAGAAAAUCAUCUGCCAGACAAUUUAUAAAAUUCAGUUUAUUCUUUCUACUGUCAUGGUCACAACAGUGAAAUAAGCAAACUGACAUUUGAAUCUUUCCACAUUCAUUCACUGCAUUAUAAAGAUUUGAUCCAGGCCACUGGCAUUUGCCUUUUGGAUUUGGAUGAAGAUGCUUAAAGAAGCUAUCAUUGCAAAUAUACAUACAACCCUCUUGAUCAGAAUGAAAUAAAAAGGCUUGAUAAUAGACUGUGUAAGAGACC
This 1166-nucleotide long non-coding RNA is filed under the name Chrysemys picta bellii (western painted turtle). RNAcentral's name for it is "lncRNA (ENSCPBG00000015515.1)". The record is from RNAcentral. Lineage: Eukaryota; Metazoa; Chordata; Testudines; Emydidae.